AACAAGGCGUACCUGCGGACCUGCGGAAGGAUCAUUACAGAGUUGCAAAACUCCCUAAACCAUUGUGAACGUUACCUAAACCGUUGCUUCGGCGGGCGGCCCGGGUCCUUCCCGGCGCCCCUCGGCCCUCGCGGGCGCCCGCCGGAGGUAAACCAAACUAUUGCAUUGUAUGGCCUCUCUGAGUCUUCUGUACUGAAUAAGUCAAAACUUUCAGCAAUGGAUCUCAGAUCGGAAGAGCAC
RNAcentral lists this unclassified non-coding RNA (240 nucleotides) under soil metagenome. Its description in RNAcentral is "partial contains 5.8S ribosomal RNA, internal transcribed spacer 2, and large subunit ribosomal RNA". The record is from RNAcentral.